RNAcentral lists this ribosomal RNA (207 nucleotides) under uncultured bacterium. RNAcentral's name for it is "partial 16S ribosomal RNA". It matches the Rfam family "Bacterial small subunit ribosomal RNA", at positions 568 to 774 of the family's 1533-position model. The record is from RNAcentral.
UCUGUAGGCGGUAUGGUAAGUUACUUUUCAAAUAUCCCGGCUCAAUCGGGAAAAGGGGAGUAAUACUGCUUUACUAGAAUUAUUUUAGGGAAAUCGGAAUUUAUGGAGGAGUAGUGAAAUGCGUUGAUACCAUAAAGAACACCAAUGGCGAAGGCAGAUUUCUGGAAGAUAAUUGACGCUGAGAGACGAAAGCUAGGGGAGCGAACC